GUUGCGGUAAGAAAGUAUGUAAAAGAUGCCGGACUUAAGAUCUGGUAUCGAAGGAUUUCAUGGGUUCGAAUCCCACCCCUCGCA
Molecule: transfer RNA, 84 nt
Filed under: Methanosarcina thermophila
Lineage: Archaea; Methanobacteriati; Methanobacteriota; Methanomicrobia; Methanosarcinales; Methanosarcinaceae
Description: tRNA_Pseudo_TAA
Source: RNAcentral